GACGAACCGUGCGAACGUUAUUCGGAAUCACUGGGCUUAAAGCGUGCGUAGGCGGCUCAGAAAGUUGGGUGUGAAAUACCUCGGCUCAACCGAGGAAUUGCGCUCAAAACUACUGGGCUUGAGGGAGUUAGAGGUGAGCGGAACUAAUGGUGGAGCGGUGAAAUGCGUUGAUAUCAUUAGGAACACCGGUGGCGAAAGCGGCUCACUGGGGCUCUGCUGACGCUGAGGCACGAAAGCUAGGGGAGCGAAC
This 250-nucleotide ribosomal RNA is filed under the name uncultured bacterium. RNAcentral describes it as "partial 16S ribosomal RNA". It matches the Rfam family "Bacterial small subunit ribosomal RNA", at positions 524 to 773 of the family's 1533-position model. The record is from RNAcentral.